This 279-nucleotide ribosomal RNA is filed under the name Staphylococcus aureus. Its description in RNAcentral is "partial 23S ribosomal RNA". It matches the Rfam family "Bacterial large subunit ribosomal RNA", at positions 252 to 526 of the family's 2925-position model. Lineage: Bacteria; Bacillati; Bacillota; Bacilli; Caryophanales; Staphylococcaceae. The record is from RNAcentral.
AGCGAAACGGGAAGAGCCCAAACCAACAAGCUUGCUUGUUGGGGUUGUAGGACACUCUAUACGGAGUUACAAAGGACGACAUUAGACGAAUCAUCUGGAAAGAUGAAUCAAAGAAGGUAAUAAUCCUGUAGUCGAAAAUGUUGUCUCUCUUGAGUGGAUCCUGAGUACGACGGAGCACGUGAAAUUCCGUCGGAAUCUGGGAGGACCAUCUCCUAAGGCUAAAUACUCUCUAGUGACCGAUAGUGAACCAGUACCGUGAGGGAAAGGUGAAAAGCACCC